AGGAUAUUCCAAAUAUUAUUUGAUGCUCAUUUCAAAAAGAGUUUAAUAUGAAACUUUUGUGUUAAAUUAUCCCCACAGUGCCUCCAGUUCUAUCUACCAGUCUGAGCUGCGAUGUGUCCUUGUGACGGUUAGAAACGAUGUGACUUCAACAACUGUUGUUGCAACGACCGUCCCUUCAACAACUACAAGUCUUCCUCCUAAAACAUCUGCAGCUUUGAAUGCAACAACCGUUAAUGCAACAACCAUUAAUGCAACAACCGUCCCUUUGACAACUACUAGUCCUCUCAACACAUGUAAGUAAGACAAUUUAUUUUUUAUUUAAUUGAUUUAUUUUUCAUCUUUGAUGUAUUAUACAUUUUUAUGUCCUGAAC
Molecule: long non-coding RNA, 371 nt
Organism: Poecilia latipinna (sailfin molly)
Lineage: Eukaryota; Metazoa; Chordata; Actinopteri; Cyprinodontiformes; Poeciliidae
Exons: 3
Source: RefSeq, a predicted model, not a curated record